RNAcentral lists this ribosomal RNA (431 nucleotides) under uncultured bacterium. Its description in RNAcentral is "bacterial SSU rRNA". It matches the Rfam family "Bacterial small subunit ribosomal RNA", at positions 30 to 507 of the family's 1533-position model. The record is from RNAcentral.
CGAACGCUGGCGGCAGGCCUAACACAUGCAAGUCGAGCGGGGGAGCAAUCCCUAGCGGCGGACGGGUUAGUAACGCGUGGGAACGUGCCCAAAGGUACGGAAUAGCCUCGGGAAACUGAGAGUAAUACCGUAUGUGCCCUUCGGGGGAAAGAUUUAUCGCCUUUGGAUCGGCCCGCGUUGGAUUAGGUAGUUGGUGGGGUAAUGGCCUACCAAGCCGACGAUCCAUAGCUGGUUUGAGAGGAUGAUCAGCAACACUGGGACUGAGACACGGCCCAGACUCCUACGGGAGGCAGCAGUGGGGAAUCUUAGACAAUGGGCGAAAGCCUGAUCUAGCCAUGCCGCGUGAGCGAUGAAGGCCUUAGGGCUGUAAAGCUCUUUCAGCUGGGAAGAUAAUGACGGUACCAGCAGAAGAAGCCCCGGCUAACUCCGUG